AAGUCGUACGAGAGUUUUAACUCUAGUGGCGGACGGGUGAGUAACGCGUGAGAAUUUGCCCGCAGGAGGGAAAUAACACCGGGAAACUGGUGCUAAAGUCCCAUAUACCUUUUGGUAAAAUAGAGCAAUCUGCCUGCGGAAAAGCUCGCGUCUGAUUAGCUUGUUGGUGGGGUAAAGGCCUACCAAGGCGAUGAUCAGUAGCUGGUCUGAGAGGACGAUCAGCCACACUGGAACUGAGACACGGUCCAGACUCCUACGGGAGGCAGCAGUGAGGAAUUUUCUGCAAUGGGCGAAAGCCUGACAGAGCAAUACCGCGUGAGGGAUGACGGCCUUUGGGUUGUAAACCUCUUUUUUCAAGGAGGAAGUUCUGACGUGUACUUGAAGAAUAAGCAUCGGCUAACUCCGUGCCAGCAGCCGCGGUAAGACGGAGGAUGCAAGUGUUAUCCGGAAUUAUUGGGCGUAAAGCGUCUGUAGGUUGCUUAUUAAGUCUGUGGUUAAAGGUUAAAGCUCAACUUUAAAACUGCCAUAGAAACUGGUAGGCUCGAGUAUUGUCGAAGUAGAAGGAAUUUCCAGUGAAGCGGUGAAAUGCGUAGAUAUUGGAAGGAACACCAAUGGCGAAAGCAUUCUACUAGGCUACUACUGACACUGAGAGACGAAAGCUAGGGUAGCAAAUGGGAUUAGAUACCCCAGUAG
RNAcentral lists this ribosomal RNA (693 nucleotides) under uncultured bacterium. RNAcentral describes it as "bacterial SSU rRNA". It matches the Rfam family "Bacterial small subunit ribosomal RNA", at positions 59 to 793 of the family's 1533-position model. The record is from RNAcentral.